Molecule: ribosomal RNA, 1056 nt
Filed under: uncultured Methanosaeta sp.
Lineage: Archaea; Methanobacteriati; Methanobacteriota; Methanomicrobia; Methanotrichales; Methanotrichaceae
Description: bacterial SSU rRNA
Rfam family: Archaeal small subunit ribosomal RNA
Source: RNAcentral
CGCGGGAUUGCACGGGGGGACGGGGUGUAGCCGGCGCGAAAACUUUACAAUGCCGGCAACGGCGAUAAGGGAACCUCGAGUGCCAGGUUACAAAUCUGGCUGUCGUGAUGCCUAAAAAGCAUUGCAUAGCAAGGGCCGGGCAAGACCGGUGCCAGCCGCCGCGGUAACACCGGCGGCUCGAGUGGUAACCGUUAUUAUUGGGUCUAAAGGGUCUGUAGCCGGCCGGAUAAGUCUCUUGGGAAAUCCAGCAGCUCAACUGUUGGGCUUUCAGGAGAUACUGUUCGGCUCGAGGCCGGGAGAGGUGAGAGGUACUUCAGGGGUAGGGGUGAAAUCUUGUAAUCCUUGAAGGACCACCAGUGGCGAAGGCGUCUCACCAGAACGGACCUGACGGCAAGGGACGAAAGCUAGGGGCACGAACCGGAUUAGAUACCCGGGUAGUCCUAGCCGUAAACGAUACUCGCUAGGUGUCGGCCACGGUGCGACCGUUGUCGGUGCCGUAGGGAAGCCGUGAAGCGAGCCACCUGGGAAGUACGGCCGCAAGGCUGAAACUUAAAGGAAUUGGCGGGGGAGCACCACAACGGGUGGAGCUUGCGGUUUAAUUGGAUUCAACGCCGGAAAUCUUACCGGGACCGACAGCAAUAUGAAGGCCAGGCUGAAGACUUUGCCGGAUUAGCUGAGAGGUGGUGCAUGGCCGUCGUCAGUUCGUACUGUGAAGCAUCCUGUUAAGUCAGGCAACGAGCGAGACCCACGCCCACAGUUGCCAGCGUACUCUCCGGAGUGACGGGUACACUGUGGGGACCGCCGCUGCUAAAGCGGAGGAAGGAAUGGGCAACGGUAGGUCAGUAUGCCCCGAAUAUCCCGGGCUACACGCGAGCUACAAUGGUUGGUACAAUGGGUAUCUACCCCGAAAGGGGAUGGAAAUCUCCUAAAGCCAAUCUUAGUUCGGAUUGAGGGCUGCAACUCGCCCUCAUGAAGCUGGAAUCCGUAGUAAUCGCGUUUCAACAGAACGCGGUGAAUACGUCCCUGCUCCUUGCACGAGUUCACCGAAUCACUAGU